RNAcentral lists this ribosomal RNA (1386 nucleotides) under uncultured bacterium. Its description in RNAcentral is "partial 16S ribosomal RNA". It matches the Rfam family "Bacterial small subunit ribosomal RNA". The record is from RNAcentral.
AGAGUUUGAUCCUGGCUCAGGAUGAACGCUGGCGGCGUGCUUAACACAUGCAAGUCGAACGAUGACUUUUGUGCUUGCACAAAAUGAUUAGUGGCGAACGGGUGAGUAACACGUGAGUAACCUGCCCUUAACUUCGGGAUAAGCCUGGGAAACCGGGUCUAAUACCGGAUACGACGGAUUCCCGCAUGGGGGUCCGUGGAAAGCUUGAUGCGGUUUUGGAUGGACUCGCGGCCUAUCAGCUAGUUGGUUGGGGUAAUGGCCCACCAAGGCGACGACGGGUAGCCGGCCUGAGAGGGUGACCGGCCACACUGGGACUGAGACACGGCCCAGACUCCUACGGGAGGCAGCAGUGGGGAAUAUUGCACAAUGGGCGAAAGCCUGAUGCAGCGACGCCGCGUGAGGGACGAAGGCCUUCGGGUUGUAAACCUCUUUCAGCAGGGAAGAAGCGAAAGUGACGGUACCUGCAGAAGAAGCGCCGGCUAACUACGUGCCAGCAGCCGCGGUAAUACGUAGGGCGCAAGCGUUAUCCGGAAUUAUUGGGCGUAAAGAGCUCGUAGGCGGUUUGUCGCGUCUGCUGUGAAAGCCCGGGGCUCAACCCCGGGUCUGCAGUGGGUACGGGCAGACUAGAGUGCAGUAGGGGAGACUGGAAUUCCUGGUGUAGCGGUGAAAUGCGCAGAUAUCAGGAGGAACACCGAUGGCGAAGGCAGGUCUCUGGGCUGUAACUGACGCUGAGGAGCGAAAGCAUGGGGAGCAAACAGGAUUAGAUACCCUGGUAGUCCAUGCCGUAAACGUUGGGCACUAGGUGUGGGGGACAUUCCACGUUUUCCGCGCCGUAGCUAACGCAUUAAGUGCCCCGCCUGGGGAGUACGGCCGCAAGGCUAAAACUCAAAGGAAUUGACGGGGGCCCGCACAAGCGGCGGAGCAUGUGGUUUAAUUCGAGGCAACGCGAAGAACCUUACCAGGUCUUGACAUCCCGGUGACCACUAUGGAGACAUAGUUUCCCCUUCGGGGGCAACGGUGACAGGUGGUGCAUGGUUGUCGUCAGCUCGUGUCGUGAGAUGUUGGGUUAAGUCCCGCAACGAGCGCAACCCUUAUUCUUAGUUGCCAUCAUUCAGUUGGGCACUCUAAGGAGACUGCCGGUGAUAAACCGGAGGAAGGUGGGGAUGACGUCAAAUCAUCAUGCCCCUUAUGACCUGGGCUACACACGUGCUACAAUGGACGGUACAAACGGUUGCCAACCCGCGAGGGGGAGCUAAUCCGAUAAAACCGUUCUCAGUUCGGAUUGUAGGCUGCAACUCGCCUACAUGAAGCCGGAAUCGCUAGUAAUCGCGGAUCAGCAUGCCGCGGUGAAUACGUUACCGGGCCUUGCACUCACCGCCCGUCAAG